AUUGAACGCUGGCGGCAUGCCUUACACAUGCAAGUCGAACGGCAGCGGACCUUCGGGUGCCGGCGAGUGGCGAACGGGUGAGUAAUAUAUCGGAACGUACCUUUCAGUGGGGGAUAACGUAGCGAAAGUUACGCUAAUACCGCAUAUUCUGUGAGCAGGAAAGCAGGGGAUCGCAAGACCUUGCGCUGAUUGAGCGGCCGAUAUCAGAUUAGCUAGUUGGUGAGGUAAAGGCUCACCAAGGCGACGAUCUGUAGCGGGUCUGAGAGGAUGAUCCGCCACACUGGAACUGAGACACGGUCCAGACUCCUACGGGAGGCAGCAGUGGGGAAUUUUGGACAAUGGGCGCAAGCCUGAUCCAGCCAUGCCGCGUGAGUGAAG
This 378-nucleotide ribosomal RNA is filed under the name uncultured bacterium. RNAcentral describes it as "bacterial SSU rRNA". It matches the Rfam family "Bacterial small subunit ribosomal RNA", at positions 30 to 410 of the family's 1533-position model. The record is from RNAcentral.